Molecule: unclassified non-coding RNA, 345 nt
Filed under: soil metagenome
Description: partial contains 5.8S ribosomal RNA, internal transcribed spacer 2, and large subunit ribosomal RNA
Rfam family: 5.8S ribosomal RNA (bases 1-119)
Source: RNAcentral
GAUGAAGAACGCAGCGAAAUGCGAUACGUAAUGUGAAUUGCAAAUUCAGUGAAUCAUCGAGUCUUUGAACGCACAUUGCGCCCCCUGGUAUUCCGGGGGGCAUGCCUGUCCGAGCGUCAUUGCUGCCCUCAAGCACGGCUUGUGUGUUGGGCCCCGUCCUCCGAUCCCGGGGGACGGGCCCGAAAGGCAGCGGCGGCCCCGCGUCCGGUCCUCGAGCGUAUGGGGCUUUGUCACCCGCUCUGUAGGCCCGGCCGGCGCUUGCCGAUCAACCCAAAUUUUUAUCCAGGUUGACCUCGGAUCAGGUAGGGAUACCCGCUGAACUUAAGCAUAUCAAUAAGCGGAGGA